RNAcentral lists this unclassified non-coding RNA (403 nucleotides) under Pogonomyrmex barbatus (red harvester ant). RNAcentral's name for it is "protein sly1 homolog, transcript variant X2". The record is from RNAcentral. Lineage: Eukaryota; Metazoa; Arthropoda; Insecta; Hymenoptera; Formicidae.
AACAAGAAGUGAUUGGUCACCCAAUAUUGUGCUCCAAGUGCAAAUAUGUAAAAUAUUUGACUACCUGAAUUCACCAUCACUUGGAAUUUUUCCAACCAAAUUAUCUGGGUUGUUUAUCUGGGUUGGAAACGCAGUUUUUUAAAGGUUUUUUGGUCUUUACCUGAAAAAGAUAAAGGUUGUAAAAGAAAGUCUGAAAAAAUUUUAGCAAAUUUUUCUCUAUAUCGACAUACAGAGAUACAUCGAGACUAAUAGACAUUCUAAAUAUUUCAUAUAUAAUAUAUGUAAUGUAUGUAAUGUAUAUUACAGAAUUUUUGUAUACAAAAUUUUAAAACGAGGAUAAUACUGAUGUAUGUGAGAAAUAAAGGUGUAUAAAAAGUUUCAAGGAAAAAAUAUAACAUUAAAA